GAGACUCUGUGCGCGUGCAUAUCAAUAAGCGGAGGAAAAGAAACUAACAAGGAUUCCCCUAGUAACGGCGAGUGAAGCGGGAAGAGCUCAAAUUUGAAAUCUUAAAGGGUUUCCCUUUACGAAUUGUAGUUUAAAGAAGUGUUUUCUGUUGGAGUUUCGGUAAAAGUUCUUUGGAAUAGGACAUCAUAGAGGGUGAGAAUCCCGUAUUUGAUCGUUACUUUCCAGCUGUGUGAUACACUUUCAAAGAGUCGGAUUGUUUGGGAAUGCAGUCCAAGAUGGGUGGUAAAUUUCAUCUAAAGCUAAAUAUUGGCGAGAGACCGAUAGCGAACAAGUACCGUGAGGGAAAGAUGAAAAGAACUUUGAAAAGAGAGUUAAACAGUACGUGAAAUUGUCAAAAGGGAAGCGUUUGACACCAGUGUUGUUUAGUUGAAAAUCAAUUCAAUAGUUUUGAUUCUAAGUAGUAUUGACUUCAUCAGCUUGCUGCUUUCUUCUCAGGAAUUAUUGAAUGCACUUUUCAGUUAACAAGUCAACAUCAAUUUCUUUUGUUGUAAAAGGGUAAGAGGAAGGUGGCUUGCGCUUCGGCUCAAGUGUUUAUAGCCUUUUAUCUCUGCAAUCGGAGAGAUUGAGGUCUGCAGCGUAGAUCCUUCGGGGUUAGAUACAUUGGUGCUAAGCUAUAGCCUUGUAUAGACAACUUGUUGACUAUGCUCAGUCAUGUAGCUUACUCGCUGAUGCUAUUUUACCUACGCUUAGGAUGUUGACAGCAGUAUAGACUGU
RNAcentral lists this ribosomal RNA (774 nucleotides) under uncultured Neocallimastigales. RNAcentral's name for it is "partial large subunit ribosomal RNA". It matches the Rfam family "Eukaryotic large subunit ribosomal RNA", at positions 23 to 638 of the family's 3401-position model. Lineage: Eukaryota; Fungi; Neocallimastigomycota; Neocallimastigomycetes; Neocallimastigales. The record is from RNAcentral.